AUUCCAUUACACAACCGUUCCACUUAAAAGCCCGAUUUCCCAACGAUUUUUCACAUGUUAAAUGCUGUAAAUAUAGCCCAAACUAGCUUUGAAAUUUAGAAAUAGAAUAUUUAAAGAUUCUCCAGUGACAUGAUGCUCCUGGAUGGCUUUGGGUCUGAGAUGCUGUUUCUUCUAUCCAGCACCGUGGCCUCUCAGACAAGUGCUGGGAUCAGGAAAAGCAGGCUAGGAACACCAUCCACAAUGUCGCUGCUUCCAAGCAUGAGGAAGUAUGCCCCCCCCCCCUUCAUGCACCUGAGCUGAAAGGUUCCAGAUACAACAAGCACAUACCGAGCUCCUCGAGGAGAAAACAGUGAGAUUUUUCAAACUUGAAAAAAACAUUGAAGUCAGAGGAAUUCAGAGCAGUGUAUUCCCGGCUAUGUCCUUCAAACAUCUCAUACUCUGUGUGCACACGGUUUAUUCAAAUACAAAGUAAAAUGAUGACUUACAAA
This is a long non-coding RNA of Marmota monax (woodchuck), 488 nucleotides long. RefSeq lists it as uncharacterized. The transcript is spliced from 2 exons. The record is from RefSeq and is a predicted model, not a curated record. NCBI's taxonomy places the organism in Eukaryota, Metazoa, Chordata, Mammalia, Rodentia, Sciuridae.